This 1627-nucleotide long non-coding RNA is filed under the name Pandoravirus celtis. RNAcentral's name for it is "hypothetical ncRNA". The record is from RNAcentral.
CGCGGCGCGCGUCAAGGGUGCGCCACAUGGCCACGGGACACGCACAUAGGGUCCGCGCCACAGUGGUUGCAGCCACGCCCCACGCCUGCCAUGGACAACGCGCCAGUAGGCGGGCGAUGCGCACGGGGUCAUUCGAGGCCAGCGUCGCGGCGGUCCAGACACCAAGAUCAGGAGCCAGGCGCGACGAUAACUCGGCGCGCGCCAGCGACGACUGGGUCGCCCAGCGCAUGAUGGCAUCAAAACAAGAACCAUCGUGUGCGCGAUUGAGCGCUGCGCCAACAGACACGUCGCUCCAGGGUAUACGAAAAGGACCUGCGGCGGCCCAGUCGACGGCGUCAAUAUGGCCACGCGCGAGGGCAUCGGCCACGUAGGAAGGUGACAUUGUCGGUCGUCGGGCGGAAGCAGGCCCAUGGGUAUUGUUGUUGGCCCGAUGCCUCUUGGGCGCGCGCGACGGCGCCAACCCAGACGGUCGGUCGCAUUCGUCGGCAGAGGCGCCCUCGGCCAAAGGCGCAGCCGACAGUUUCAAAAGAAGGGACGCGCAGGCGACAUGUCCGUGCGCGACGGCGAUCGAAGCGUGCGAUGACGUUGGAUACUUGGCGCGCGCCACAAGUAUCGCCAGCAGGUCGAGAUCAGCGUGCUCGGCCACGGCUGUCCAUAGGGCGUGUGUGGGCGCUGGAGUGACAUUGUCAACGAGCCAUGCGAGUAUAUCGGCGUGCUUGGACUUGGCCGCGGCAUUGGUGACGUCUUCUGCCACGCGCAUCGCCUUUUGCUGUGAGACAUGUGGCCAUAGCAGCACCACCAUGUCCAGGCGUCCGACGCCGGCUGCGACGACGAGCGCCGGCGCCAGGUCGACCGCGCGCCCACUGAAUUGGCCCUUUUCAACGCGCUCGGUGAGCAGCCAGCGCAGUGCGUCCAUGUGGCUGUUGCGCGCCGCAGAUUCGAUCCAUCUCUCCAGGCGCGCACUCUCGGGCCGAAGUAGUACGCCAAUGCGAUCCAAAAGAUCGACUCGACCGGCAUACAGGAUGGCAUCGAGGGCGCGGUCGGUGGGCCACACGUGCGGAUAGUGGGCAACAACAUGGACGAUCCCGGCGUCCAGACCGGGUGCUCGAAGGCGGCCAUUAUACUCCCAGCCAAAAUUGUUGCAUGCAAAGCCCCCACGCGCGGCGCAUACACGGCAACGACGCCACAGAGUCAUGGCCAUGUCGAUGGCAUCGGCACGGCCUGAGCGUACUGCACCCGACACAAUGGCACACGGGGCCACCUGGUGCCCGUCGACGUUGUCAUCAUCAAGGAGGACAUUGUGCCCGUCGGCAUUGUCGACGAGGCCGUCGCUAUUGUCGGCAACAUCGGCAUAGCCUGGUACGUAGACACCCAGUCCUGCCGUCGCCAUCGCCAACGUACGGUCAAAGAGGACGGUGCCGGCAUACACUCUGAAUGCGUGCGCGGCCUCGAUGGCAAUGUCGACGCGCCCGGCCAGCGCGGCCGCCUUGGCCAUGUGGCGGUGGGCGCCCGGACGGUCGAGAAAGAUCUCGGGCAAGUGACGCCAUACCCAAGAGAGGGCAUCGUCUGGCCGUGUGCUCAUCGCCGCGGCGUUGACCAUGGCCUCACAAUCAGACCCAGAGGCGCG